This 482-nucleotide ribosomal RNA is filed under the name uncultured bacterium. RNAcentral describes it as "partial 16S ribosomal RNA". It matches the Rfam family "Bacterial small subunit ribosomal RNA", at positions 28 to 507 of the family's 1533-position model. The record is from RNAcentral.
GACGAACGCUGGCGGCGUGCCUAACACAUGCGAGUCGAACGGAACUGUUUUGAAAGCUUUCUUCGGAAUGAAUUUGAUUUAGUUUAGUGGCGGACGGGUGAGUAACGCGUGAGUAACCUGCCUUCAAGAGGGGAAUAACAUUCUGAAAAGAAUGCUAAUACCGCAUGACAUAUCGGAACCACAUGGUUUUGAUAUCAAAGAUUUUAUCGCUUGAAGAUGGACUCGCGUCCGAUUAGUUAGUUGGUGAGGUAACGGCUCACCAAGACCGCGAUCGGUAGCCGGACUGAGAGGUUGAACGGCCACAUUGGGACUGAGACACGGCCCAGACUCCUACGGGAGGCAGCAGUGGGGGAUAUUGCGCAAUGGGGGCAACCCUGACGCAGCAACGCCGCGUGAAGGAUGAAGGUUUUCGGAUUGUAAACUUCUUUUAUUAAGGACGAAAAAUGACGGUACUUAAUGAAUAAGCGCCGGCUAACUACGUG